UACGAAGGGAGCUAGCGUUGUUCGGAAUUACUGGGCGUAAAGGGCGCGUAGGCGGCUCUGUAAGUCAGAUGUGAAAGCCCCGGGCUUAACCUGGGAACUGCAUUUGAUACUGCAGAGCUAGAGAAUGUGAGAGGUAAGUGGAAUUAUGAGUGUAGAGGUGAAAUUCGUAGAUAUUCAUAAGAACAUCAGUGGCGAAGGCGGCUUACUGGCACAUUACUGACGCUAAGGCGCGAAAGCGUGGGGAGCAAACAGG
RNAcentral lists this ribosomal RNA (253 nucleotides) under uncultured bacterium. Its description in RNAcentral is "partial 16S ribosomal RNA". It matches the Rfam family "Bacterial small subunit ribosomal RNA", at positions 524 to 776 of the family's 1533-position model. The record is from RNAcentral.